This is a long non-coding RNA of Herpailurus yagouaroundi (jaguarundi), 1772 nucleotides long. RefSeq lists it as uncharacterized. The transcript has 9 exons. Lineage: Eukaryota; Metazoa; Chordata; Mammalia; Carnivora; Felidae. The record is from RefSeq and is a predicted model, not a curated record.
GGAACGGACCCGAGCGGCCGGGCGCGGGCGGAGGUGGGGGACUUGGAGAGAAAGUGUCGCCUAGAGUAACUUCGAGCUUCGUUUUGUCGUUUGCAUGAGUCCUUACUCGCGAUUAGGUGCUCAGUAAACAUUUGAAGGAGAAAAAGAAGAAAACACGGCAGGAGUGAAGAGAGAAACCUCAAGGACAUAGAGACAAGCAAACAGAUGAGGCCACCGUAAAUCAGCCAAACCCACCAGCUCAGCAAAGAUUCAAGAAUGAGUCUAGCCCAGACCAACCAACAUCAGACCACCCCACUGAGACGAGCCGUGACUGUCAACACAGAGGAGCGUGAGCUAAAUAAAAUAGCGCUUCCUUGGGUCUGGAGUCUCUCUGAUCUAUUCUGCCUUUACCCUGCCGAAGACAGAUCACCUUGAGCAAAGUGCAACAGGACUGGUUCCAUAACUUGAGUCUUUAAAAGGAAGAGGUUGGCGACUGGCCUUGUUACCACCUACUCGGCUUCCUUCUCCCUGGAGUGUGUCCUCGCCCCUUUCCUUCCUAUCCCUUCCCAAGCGUGUCCCUCUUCUCAGCUGCGUCUUUCUCUGGCCUUUCUCUCCUCUUACAGAACGGAACAGCUCAGGCUCGUCUGCUCUCAGGCACGAAGAAAAAUGCAGGAGUGGAAACGGAGGUUAGAAAGAGCAAGUGGGUGCCCACAGAGGAGCUGGUCAAGGAGUGGGGUGUGGAUGGAGGAGAUGGAAUGGAAAAGACUGGAAUUGCCAGAAGGUCUUCAGAGAGCUGAAGGAAUAGACCCGGCUGGAGGACAACGCAGGACUGCCCCGUCACAUUCAGGAAGGAAAACCGCACUCAUACCGGGAAGCCAUCUGAGCUCUCUGUUUGAGCGGAAGGCGUGUUUUCAUGCAAAUGGACAAGGUGAGGCAAUGAUGUCCAGGCUGCAGCUUUGGAGAGGGAGCUCUCUGAAGCCUUACGGUAUGUCCACGCUGGCUUGGAAUAAAAGAAUAGAAGGGGUGCCCAAGAUGAGCCAGGAAUAGGACCAGGCACUGCAGGGUCCCCUGCCUGGUCCCAGCAUUUGACUUUCUGACAACUGAAAUAGAAGCUGUGAUUCCUGUCCUCUGAUAUUCUGAAUGGAGCAAAAGAUGGAGUUGGCCCCCAAUUUGCCUGUGUCGCGAACGAAAGCAUCAGGAUGAAAGUCAAAUUCUCGGCGGGAGGUCCGUCAUCUCUCUUCCAGGUGCACCCUGACCCAGCCCCUUCUGAUGCUGAGCGCCAUCUUGGAUUUCUAGUUCUAGCAAAAUGGAGCUUCUUCUGCGGUCCCUCCAGCUGCAAUGCCUGAGGCCUUAUUGGAUGAUAGCCUUCAUCCUUUAAGAGUAAACAGAGGUGUUACUACCUGGAGGGAAACUCCGACUCUCUCCCUCUUAAUUCUUUGAAGUCUGACUUUAGAGGAUCUGUCCUUUCUCCUGGAGAAGGGGUUAUUACUCUGUAAACAAAUGUGUUCUACAGAAAGGGAAAGGCAAUAAGGCUAGUUGGUAGGGAAAAAAAAGUAGUUAAAUUAUUCAGAAAAAAAGACUGUGAAAUAGCCAAACCUAAGAAAGGCAGAGCCCAACCAGGAGAGAAAGUGGCAGAACUAUGGAAUGCUUGACAUUCUUUUGAACCCUAAGAGCGAAGACAGUCAAGAUCACAAUGGGGUCGGAACAAGUACAGGUAAGAGUUGUAUUUUGUGGGGCGCCUGGGUGGCUCAGUGGGUUAAGCAUCCGACUUUGGCUCAGGGCAUGAUCUCACA